CUGUGAUUUUGGUUAUACCUGAUUUGACAUCAUUUCUUACUUAAGAUAAAAUCCAAGUAUUUUAGCAAAUUUUUUCUACCAAAAAAAUUGAAGCUUUCUUUAUAGAAUUUUCAAAACUGUUUCCUGAAAGUAGAAAGUCAGUAAUUUUCUUUUACUGGACUACAUUUGGUGUAUCCCCAACAAUUGAAAUCAGCAUUUUAAGCCAUUUUAAUACUCCGCUAGGAAGUAUCAAGGCCUGCAAAAAUGCUGCUUUGAAGUGCGAUGAAUUGAAAUUUGAACAGUACAAAUUGCUGGUUGGAGACCGCCUUACACCUGAUUGCCAGCUACGCAUGCAAAACUACCUUGAGAAGAUCAAACUCUUGGAGCAUUGAUGGUGGUCGAUAUUUUUCUAUUUGGUGUAGAUGAUUGAUAAGCCCAGCAUAUGAAGGUUUGUACUUUAUUCUUGAAACUAGUGCAUUCCCUGUUGUUUAACUGAUUUGUUGUCUAUGCUAUUUCUUAUCCUGUUGUUGCAUAUAUACUUUUGAGUUUGUUCACUUUCUCUCUUACAUUUUGCAUUGCAUAUAGUAGACGAUGAUAGGAUCAACUGGACACCAGUAGAGAACAAAAAGAAGCUAAAUUUUUUGUUCAUUGAACGCUCAAGUCCUGUUAAGUACAUUGUCCCAAACAUGAAGUUAGUACACUUUUCUUUUUCUUUUUCCCGUUUCGCUUACUGUUUUGUCAGUAAUGAUACAAUGUUUUAUUGGGUGUGGAGAUUGAGUGAGUUUGUGACUCUCGUGAAUGCUAUAUUAUUUGAUGAAAUGUGAUUGGAAAUUUGAAUAAAGCUAUGUGUACAAGGAUGUUUACAUUCUCCUUGACAUUCUUCCUAUGUGUCGAAAUCUGGAACGUGAUAGAAUGUUGUAGAAAUCAAUGGCUUUACGGAUGCCACGUGGACAAGUGUCAAACUUAAUGUAUAAGAGGAUGUACAUGUAUCAUGAUUGUGAUAAUUUAUGGUUCACCACCUCCAUGCAAUCUCUUUCAUAAGCUUUGAUGAAUUAAUUUGAAUUCUAAAAAUCAAAUGACUUUAUUUGUAUAUGUAUGGUUCUAAAUGGCAGAGAAAUUGAAAGAAGUUUCUGCUAGUACACAAUUUGAAUAUUUUUGGUCUGCACUAUUUUACAAAAUGGACAGGUUUAAAAAGGAAAAAUAAUGAGUAAAAAUUGUCUGUUUUACUGGCCAUUUUGUCGAAUACAUUUGUUAUUGUCAUUGGCUGCCUUUCCACGCAUGAAUCAAACAAAUAACAUCUUCCUUGGUGAUUAACUGUCUAUAUGAUCUGUAUUUUACCUGUCCUUUGCAGCUGAGGUUUAUGUCUGUUUUGACUCAUCCGUCUUUGCCAGGAGUUAUCAACCGAAUAUGGCCAUAUCUAUUGCAACUUGUAAUUAAGAAUGCAGGGGAUAAAGGAAUGGAUGCACAAGUUGAAAAUUUGUGUGAUAUCAAAGGCAUCGACUCCACUGUGAAACUUCAGCGGCACGAUUACUUUCUGGACCUAACAUAUUAAGAAGUACUAAACUUGGCGUGGAAAGACUUGGUACUUGGAGUGAUCCUAAUAUAGCUAGCAAUUAACACACAAUUGGGAACAACAUUUCAGCUACCAUUAUUAUAGCACAUUUGAUCCUGUUUAAAAGGAUUAUUUUAGAUGUUCUUUCAUGCAGUCAGUGGAUGCGUUUAGCUCAAGAAAAGCUGAACAAAAAUAUUUUAUGUUCAAACAUGGUAUGUAUAUGGACAUCCAAAUAUUCAAUAGAACUUGAAACCUUAUUGUACCUUUUGACUCGUUGACAUAUGCCUGCGACUGGUGGAUCAUGUAGUGCGGAACCUUUUAUUCAACCUUAUGGUUUGAGUCUUAAAGAAACCUUUGGUUUAAAUGAGUGCUACACAAAGUGAAUUCACG
RNAcentral lists this long non-coding RNA (1921 nucleotides) under Olea europaea subsp. europaea. The record is from RNAcentral. Lineage: Eukaryota; Viridiplantae; Streptophyta; Magnoliopsida; Lamiales; Oleaceae.